GACCCUCCGCUCGGGGGAGAUUCGGCGAAAUAUUACCCUCAGUGAUGAUAUUUAAUAUAUAUUAUCACCUCGGGUAAUAUUUCGCCGAAUCCCCCUCGCUCCAG
Molecule: non-coding RNA, 104 nt
Organism: Paramuricea clavata
Lineage: Eukaryota; Metazoa; Cnidaria; Anthozoa; Malacalcyonacea; Plexauridae
Source: the annotation of a GenBank genome assembly